GUCGCAGGCCGCAUUGCUCGUUCCCCACAGGAGUCCGGUUGCUUCGUGCGCCGUUCUUCCCACAUCGCGAGCGGGUAAGGUCUGAGGAUUCUAAACCCUCCUAGAUCGACUCUAGCUGGGUCCGACAGUAACCUGUCGAGCGACACACCAGAAAUACGCACCGAGCUCGUACAAUCCGCCCAACGAUCCGCUUUAGGGGAGGGCACGUCGAGUUCGGCUGCUUGGGACAUGUCGCGAGGGUUCGGCCCGCAACCACCGAC
RNAcentral lists this RNase P RNA (260 nucleotides) under Tulasnella calospora MUT 4182. RNAcentral describes it as "Nuclear RNase P". It matches the Rfam family "Nuclear RNase P". From Rfam's summary of the family: Ribonuclease P (RNase P) is a ubiquitous endoribonuclease, found in archaea, bacteria and eukarya as well as chloroplasts and mitochondria. Its best characterised activity is the generation of mature 5'-ends of tRNAs by cleaving the 5'-leader elements of precursor-tRNAs. Lineage: Eukaryota; Fungi; Basidiomycota; Agaricomycetes; Cantharellales; Tulasnellaceae. The record is from Rfam by way of RNAcentral.